This 108-nucleotide small nucleolar RNA is filed under the name Pteropus vampyrus (large flying fox). RNAcentral describes it as "Small nucleolar RNA SNORA25 (ENSPVAG00000028838.1)". The record is from RNAcentral. Lineage: Eukaryota; Metazoa; Chordata; Mammalia; Chiroptera; Pteropodidae.
CCAUCACAAAUCAGGAGCUCUUAACGCUGUGACCAAAGAUUGAAGUUCUCCAUAGAUGGGAUGUAAUAGUCACUCAAUAGUGCUAUGUUUUCCUGAGGCGAUAUAAGA